GCGGAAUUGGUGAAGUGGUUAACACGGCGGAUUGUGGUUCCGUUAUGCAUCGGUUCGAUCCCGAUAUUCCGCC
This 73-nucleotide transfer RNA is filed under the name Firmicutes bacterium CAG:822. It matches the Rfam family "tRNA". Rfam says of the family: Transfer RNA (tRNA) molecules are approximately 80 nucleotides in length. Their secondary structure includes four short double-helical elements and three loops (D, anti-codon, and T loops). The record is from Rfam by way of RNAcentral. Lineage: Bacteria; Bacillati; Bacillota.